GCACUAUCGACUCAAGACCUUUUAUUUGCCAUAUAUGUUUCUGUAUAAAGACAUAUAUCGUGUGAUGCAUGACUGAAUAUGUGGUAUUCUCUCUAAAGUGAUUGGCUUUCCAUGUGCAAUUACUGUGUGGAUAUCUUUGAAGGUGUCUUUUAUGUGAACAAAUUUCUCUAUCAGAACAAUUAAUGCGGUGUCUAUUAUGCUUUGAUUUCGUGUACAUGCAAUUGUUCUUUUUGUUAAAAAUAAUGCUAGCUGUCUGUACACAUGGGCUGUGAUGUAUUUAUGGCAGUGGUUUCCUAUAAAUGAACGGCUGUGGUAGGCCUGUGGUGUGAUGCUGUGUUGUUUGAGGAUGUUAUCAAAUUUAGAGCAGGCAGGACUUGACCUUGGAAUAAGCUCCUCAAACUCUAACUCUGACAGCUGAUCAUGUACACUAGAACCCUCCCUCUCAAAUCUCUCUGCUUCUCGUGGAUUAUCUGACAAAACCUGACAGCCCUGUAACAAUUGAAUGUCCCCCUCGUUUUUUUCAGCCCUCUUUCAUUUUUUGCCGUAGAUAUGCACAUUUUAGAGGCAAGAAAACUAAAAACAGCAAGGAUGAAUGUUCAGAGUGGUGGGUUGGUAUUUUU
This is a long non-coding RNA of Aplysia californica (California sea hare), 620 nucleotides long. RefSeq lists it as uncharacterized. NCBI's taxonomy places the organism in Eukaryota, Metazoa, Mollusca, Gastropoda, Aplysiida, Aplysiidae. The transcript has 2 exons. The record is from RefSeq and is a predicted model, not a curated record.